Otolemur garnettii (small-eared galago) is the source of this 67-nucleotide small nuclear RNA. Its record names the gene U7. It matches the Rfam family "U7 small nuclear RNA". Rfam says of the family: Animal histone pre-mRNAs are spliced by a different mechanism than nuclear pre-mRNAs and self-splicing introns. NCBI's taxonomy places the organism in Eukaryota, Metazoa, Chordata, Mammalia, Primates, Galagidae. The record is from Ensembl.
AGGUGUUACGGCUAUUUUAGAAUUUCUCUAGCAGGGUUUCUGGUUUUCAUGGGGAAAAAAAUCCCAU